This 264-nucleotide unclassified non-coding RNA is filed under the name uncultured fungus. RNAcentral describes it as "partial contains small subunit ribosomal RNA, internal transcribed spacer 1, and 5.8S ribosomal RNA". The stretch from base 1 to 73 matches the Rfam family "Eukaryotic small subunit ribosomal RNA", at positions 1759 to 1831 of the family's 1831-position model. Lineage: Eukaryota; Fungi. The record is from RNAcentral.
GCAAACUUGGUCAUUUAGAGGAAGUAAAAGUCGUAACAAGGUUUCCGUAGGUGAACCUGCGGAAGGAUCAUUAAUGAAAUGCAAGGACGCUCUCUUUAGAGGUCCGACCCAUUCAUUUUCCUUACACUGUGAACCAAUUCUUUUUUUACACCAUUUUUAAACGCAUGAGUCUUAAGAAUGUCACAAGUCUCUUAACCGAGCAUAAAACUUGUAAAAACUUUCGGCAACGGAUCUCUUGGCUCCCGCAUCGAUGAAGAACGCAGC